This 845-nucleotide ribosomal RNA is filed under the name uncultured bacterium. RNAcentral describes it as "bacterial SSU rRNA". It matches the Rfam family "Bacterial small subunit ribosomal RNA", at positions 648 to 1504 of the family's 1533-position model. The record is from RNAcentral.
AUGAUAGAGGAAAGCAGAAUUUCUAGUGUAGAGGUGAAAUUCGUAGAUAUUAGAAAGAAUACCAAUUGCGAAGGCAGCUUUCUGGAUCAUUACUGACACUGAGGAACGAAAGCAUGGGUAGCGAAGAGGAUUAGAUACCCUCGUAGUCCAUGCCGUAAACGAUGUGUGUUAGACGUUGGAAAUUUAUUUUCAGUGUCGCAGGGAAACCGAUAAACACACCGCCUGGGGAGUACGACCGCAAGGUUAAAACUCAAAUGAAUUGACGGGGACCCGCACAAGUAGUGGAGCAUGUGGUUUAAUUCGAAGAUACGCGCAGAACCUUACCAACACUUGACAUGUUCGUCGCGACUCUAAGAGAUUAGAGUUUUCGGUUCGGCCGGACGAAACACAGGUGCUGCAUGGCUGUCGUCAGCUCGUGUCGUGAGAUGUUGGGUUAAGUCCCGCAACGAGCGCAACCCUCACUUUUAGUUGCCAUCAUUAAGUUGGGCACUCUGAAAGAACUGCCAGUGAUAAGCUGGAGGAAGGUGGGGAUGACGUCAAGUCCUCAUGGCCCUUACGUGUUGGGCUACACACGUGCUACAAUGGCAUCUACAACAGGAAGCAAAACGGCAACGUUAAGCAAAUCCCGAAAAGAUGCCUCAGUUCGGAUUGCACUCUGCAACUCGAGUGCAUGAAGCUGGAAUUACUAGUAAUCGUGGAUCAGCGUGCCACGGUGAAUGCGUUCCCGGGUCUUGUACACACCGCCCGUCACACCAUGGGAGUUGGUUCUACCUUAAGGCAAGGUUUUAAACCCUUGACCACGGUAUAGUCAGCGACUGGGGUGAAGUCGUAACAAGGUAGCCGUA